GGAGGGCAGAGGCCACCCAGAUGACAGUGGAGCAAGUCUUCGUUAGCUCUGGGAGGGUCUGCAUUGUUGGCCACCAAGUUUCAUCCUUCUUGUCACCAUGGCCGACUUCACGGACUUCUUUCCACCAUGCCUGCAGCUCAGGGUCAGCUUGGAUGGCAGCAUCAUUGGGGUAGUAGAUAGAGCAGUAUUCGGUGACCCACGUCUCGAUGGCCGACCAGAUGGCAAGUCCGUCAACUGCAUAGGGGUAGUCCUCAAUCAGCAGGCGGAUCUUGUUCGGCUUGCUUAGAUCCUCGACAGCAACACCUCUCUUAAUGAGAUCAUCUGGGAGCGAUUGCUCAGUGAGCUUCCAUUCCUUGUAUGCUACAGAUGACAUCUCCAUUGUGUACCUCUCCAUGCAGACAUUUCUCUCAAGGACACCGCCAUCGUUGAUAAGGGCCUGCCGAGCCAGGGCAUUGAUGUUCAUGGUGUCACGGUAGUGGGGAAAUAGGAGCUUGUUGAUUGGAUGGACCACACUGAGAUGCCUGUUCGUUGCAAGCACAAAGGGCUCGAUCACAGCAUGUGUGUUUAGCCAAUGGCUAACAGCUUCGUGGACACCAUAAUCAUUAACGACUACAUAUGCUUUAGCCAGCUGCCAAAGAGAGUGAUCCACACCACUAUCAGCAGGAAAGUAGACCACACUGUCAGCACCGUGUUGCUCUCCAUCAGGAUGUGGCAAGCUCAGCUCAAUCACAAGUGGCUUCAGGGUGCCAUCAUCCUUGAGGAACAAUAGCGUUCUUGUUGCAUAUAUAUUGUUCGGAGUAUUGGUGUUGAUCCGUUUCACGUAUGGCAUGAAGAAGUCAUGAUGAUCCAAGAUGAAGAGCUUCCUGUUCUCCAGUGCCUGAUCAACUGUCAGCCCAUCUAGGUUGUUCUGGAUUUGGGCUGCUGUGAUGGUGCUGUCCUGAUUGCCAUAUAGACUGGGAUCAAGUUUACUCUUUGGAGGAAACUCCUGAAGUCGCUUGAUCAUCAGAGGGUGCGAGCCAGCGAGCAUUUCUCGUACAAAUUGUUCAUCAGUUCUCCAUAUAAGAUGAUCAUCUUUGAUAAUUUGGGGAGUUGGAUAUCUGAGCAGGCGCUCGCCAUCUGACCUGACGAUUUCCUUGAACAUCUCAAAGGGGAUUAGCUGACUGAGUCCUGGAAUGUUAGGCAACGGCAGCCCGAGAGAGUAGAGGUUCAUCACCUCCUGGAACGAGUCAAAGUUCUUGUCAACCAAACUCAUCAGGUUGGGCAACAGUCCCUGGACAACUCCCUUGAUCGCAUAGGUGAGGAAGUCAGACAUCUUGAUGUGGCCGAACCGUUCGUCGCGUGGGACGUAUAUGUCAAUGUUUAGAUCUGACAGCCUGCUCUCAGUGCUGGGGUCGGUUCUUGAAGGUUGGCGUCCAGUCCGACCCCGGCG
This 1429-nucleotide unclassified non-coding RNA is filed under the name Hevea brasiliensis (rubber tree). Lineage: Eukaryota; Viridiplantae; Streptophyta; Magnoliopsida; Malpighiales; Euphorbiaceae. The record is from RNAcentral.